GACGAACGCUGGCGGCGUGCCUAAUACAUGCAAGUCGAACGCAGUGGGGACGGGUGAGUAACACGUGGGUAACCUCACAGCAGAGGGGAUAACACUUGGAAAAAGGUCCUAAACCGAUACUGAUGGAUGAAACCGCGGUGCCUUAGCUAGUUGGUGAGGUAACGGCUCACCAAGGCCACGCUGCAUAGCCGACCGGAGAGGGUGAUCGGCCUCACUGGGACUGAGACACGGCCCAGACACCUACGGGAGGCAGCAGUAGGGAAUCUUCGGAAAUGGACGAAAGUCUGACCGUGCAACGCCGCGUGAGUGAAGAAGGUUUUCGGAUCGUAAAACUCUGUUGUUAGAGAAGAGGUAUCUAACCAGAAAGUCACGGCUAAGUACGUGCCAGCAGCCGCGGUAAUAC
Molecule: ribosomal RNA, 403 nt
Filed under: uncultured bacterium
Lineage: Bacteria
Description: partial 16S ribosomal RNA
Rfam family: Bacterial small subunit ribosomal RNA
Source: RNAcentral